GACGUAGGGCGCGAGCGUUGUCCGGAUUUAUUGGGCGUAAAGAGCUCGUAGGCGGCUUGUCGCGUCGAAUGUGAAAACCCACGGCUCAACUGUGGGCUUGCAUUCGAUACGGGCAGGCUAGAGUUCGGUAGGGGAGACUGGAAUUCCUGGAUGUAGCGGUGAAAUGACGCAGAUAUCAGGAGGAACACCGGUGGCGAAGGCGGUUCUCUGGGCCUGUUCUGACGCUGAGGAGCGAAAGCGUGGGGAGCGAACAGG
RNAcentral lists this ribosomal RNA (255 nucleotides) under uncultured bacterium. RNAcentral's name for it is "partial 16S ribosomal RNA". It matches the Rfam family "Bacterial small subunit ribosomal RNA", at positions 524 to 776 of the family's 1533-position model. The record is from RNAcentral.